Molecule: ribosomal RNA, 260 nt
Filed under: uncultured Oscillibacter sp.
Lineage: Bacteria; Bacillati; Bacillota; Clostridia; Eubacteriales; Oscillospiraceae
Description: partial 16S ribosomal RNA
Rfam family: Bacterial small subunit ribosomal RNA
Source: RNAcentral
CUGAUGGGAUGACUUAGUGGCGGACGGGUGAGUAACGCGUGAGGAACCUGCCUUUCAGUGGGGGACAACAGUUGGAAACGACUGCUAAUACCGCAUGACACAUGAAUGGGGCAUCCCAUUGAUGUCAAAGAUUUAUCGCUGAAAGAUGGCCUCGCGUCUGAUUAGCUAGUUGGUGAGGUAACGGCCCACCAAGGCGACGAUCAGUAGCCGGACUGAGAGGUUGAACGGCCACAUUGGGACUGAGAUACGGCCCAGACUCC